UCCGCAGGCGGAUUUAUAAGUCAGUGGUGAAAGCCCGUUGCUUAACAACGGAACUGCCAUUGAUACUGUAAGUCUUGAAUUCGAUCGAAGUGGGCGGAAUAUGACAUGUAGCGGUGAAAUGCUUAGAUAUGUCAUAGAACACCGAUAGCGAAGGCAGCUCACUAGGUCUGGAUUGACGCUCAGGGACGAAAGCGUGGGGAGCAAACAGGAUUAGAUACCCCUGUA
RNAcentral lists this ribosomal RNA (225 nucleotides) under uncultured Fluviicola sp. RNAcentral's name for it is "partial 16S ribosomal RNA". It matches the Rfam family "Bacterial small subunit ribosomal RNA", at positions 568 to 792 of the family's 1533-position model. Lineage: Bacteria; Pseudomonadati; Bacteroidota; Flavobacteriia; Flavobacteriales; Crocinitomicaceae. The record is from RNAcentral.